Molecule: transfer RNA, 73 nt
Filed under: Anaerolineales bacterium
Lineage: Bacteria; Bacillati; Chloroflexota; Anaerolineae; Anaerolineales
Also listed under: 2 other names
Description: tRNA-Glu
Rfam family: tRNA
About the family: Transfer RNA (tRNA) molecules are approximately 80 nucleotides in length. Their secondary structure includes four short double-helical elements and three loops (D, anti-codon, and T loops).
Source: RNAcentral
GCCCCGUUCGUCUAGUGGCCUAGGACGUAGCCCUCUCAAGGCUAAAACAUGGGUUCGAGUCCCAUACGGGGCA